Molecule: ribosomal RNA, 468 nt
Filed under: uncultured bacterium
Lineage: Bacteria
Description: partial 16S ribosomal RNA
Rfam family: Bacterial small subunit ribosomal RNA
Source: RNAcentral
GAUGAACGCUGGCGGUGUGCUUAACACAUGCAAGUCGAACGGAAAGGCCCAAGCUUGCUUGGGUACUCGAGUGGCGAACGGGUGAGUAACACGUGGGUGAUCUGCCCUGCACUUCGGGAUAAGCCUGGGAAACUGGGUCUAAUACCGGAUAGGACCACUUCUUGGAUGUUGUGGUGGAAAGUUUUCUCGGUGUGGGAUGAGCUCGCGGCCUAUCAGCUUGUUGGUGGGGUAUUGGCCUACCAAGGCGUCGACGGGUAGCCGGCCUGAGAGGGUGUACGGCCACAUUGGGACUGAGAUACGGCCCAGACUCCUACGGGAGGCAGCAGGGGGGAAUAUUGCACAAUGGGCGCUAGCCUGAUGCAGCGACGCCGCGUGGGGGAUGACGGCCUUCGGGUUGUAAACUCCUUUCGCUAGGGACGAAGCGUUUUUGUGACGGUACCUGGAGAAGAAGCACCGGCUAACUACGUG